Sinocyclocheilus rhinocerous is the source of this 906-nucleotide long non-coding RNA. RefSeq lists it as uncharacterized. The record is from RefSeq and is a predicted model, not a curated record. NCBI's taxonomy places the organism in Eukaryota, Metazoa, Chordata, Actinopteri, Cypriniformes, Cyprinidae. The transcript is spliced from 4 exons.
UAUUUUUACUUGCUAACAGCAAACUAACAUUAUUCAUCGUGUCAUUUUUCAUGUCGGGAGUUGGAGCCUUUUUUUCUGACUGACGGCCGGAAUGCCGCCAAAAGGCUGAUAACAUGGACUGAUUUCUAGUCUAAAUGUAGUCUGCAGCGUCGGAGAUGUAUUUUGGAUCCUCUUCUUGUGAAUACCACAGAUAGUAUCGAUGAUAACAUCAACUGUUUGUGGUCAUGUCGUCUGCAUCGGAGGUGUAUUGGAGUCUUUUCCUGUGAUUGCCGUCGUAGCGGUGCUAACAUCAGGAGAUUUCUCCAAGCAAAAACAGGAUCCUGACUAUGAGAGGCAGAAUCAUCAUACAGCCAGCUGUCCAUUUUACAGAAAUGCAGAAUUAGGUAACACAAAAUACAUUUAGUUUUACUUUGCAUUUACAUUUAUGCAUUUGCCAGAUGCUUUUAUCCUAAGCAAGUUACAUUGUAUUUAAAGUACACAUUUUAUUAAGUUAUUCAUUCCCUGGGAGUCUAACAGGGGCGGCACUAGGGGUGGGCUAAGGGGGCUGAAGCCCCAAAUGUUUUUAUUACAGUGUCUUAUGCACAUCAAGAUUGAGUUUUCAUGCGCAUUCUAAUUAUUUCUAUUAAACCAGCACUUAAACAGCAAAAUGCAGCUGCUUCAGGUAUCUUUAACUUACUGUAGCCUAUAAAUUCAUAAUACCGAUCUCACUAUCUGUCAAAAUUUGAUUAUUAUUACUGUAUAGCAUCAAAUAUAGAUUUUUAAGUAGGCCUAUUAUAUGUACAGACUUUCUUGGACACACACGCAUUUAGAGCGAUUAUAUGAACAGAUUGGUUAGCAUUUAGCCUGGUCUGUGGCAGGCUUUACUAAGAGUCAGGGCAACAAAAUUCAAUAAACAAGAAGUUAAUA